This 445-nucleotide ribosomal RNA is filed under the name uncultured bacterium. RNAcentral's name for it is "partial 16S ribosomal RNA". It matches the Rfam family "Bacterial small subunit ribosomal RNA", at positions 330 to 792 of the family's 1533-position model. The record is from RNAcentral.
ACCAGACUCCUACGGGAGGCAGCAGUGGGGAAUAUUGCACAAUGGGGGGAACCCUGAUGCAGCGACGCCGCGUGGGUGAAGGAGCACCUCGGUGCGUAAAGCCCUAUCGGCAGGGAAGAAACAGACGGUACCUGACUAAGAAGCCCCGGCUAACUACGUGCCAGCAGCCGCGGUAAUACGUAGGGGGCAAGCGUUAUCCGGAUUCACUGGGUGUAAAGGGAGCGUAGACGGCGACGCAAGUCUGGAGUGAAAGCCCGGGGCCCAACCCCGGGACUGCUCUUGGAACUGCGCGGCUGGAGUGCAGGAGGGGCAGGCGGAAUUCCUGGUGUAGCGGUGAAAUGCUUAGAUAUCACGAAGAACUCCGAUUGCGAGGGCAGCUCACUGGACUGCAACUGACACUGAGGCUCGAAAGUGUGGGUAUCAAACAGGAUUAGAUACCCUAGUA